Molecule: ribosomal RNA, 261 nt
Filed under: uncultured archaeon
Lineage: Archaea
Description: partial 16S ribosomal RNA
Rfam family: Archaeal small subunit ribosomal RNA
Source: RNAcentral
CAGCCGUAAACAAUGUGCGUUAGGUGUGUCGGUAACCACGCGUUACUGAUGCGCCGAAGAGAAAUCGUGAAACGCACCACCUGGGAAGUACGGUCGCAAGGCUGAAACUUAAAGGAAUUGGCGGGGGAGCACCACAACAGGUGGAGCCUGCGGUUUAAUUGGAUUCAACGCCGGACAUCUCACCGGAUAAGACAGCUGAAUGAUUGUCAAUCUGAAGGUUUUACAUGACUAGCUGAGAGGUGGUGCAUGGCGUAGACGUCU